This 253-nucleotide ribosomal RNA is filed under the name uncultured bacterium. RNAcentral describes it as "partial 16S ribosomal RNA". It matches the Rfam family "Bacterial small subunit ribosomal RNA", at positions 524 to 776 of the family's 1533-position model. The record is from RNAcentral.
UACGUAGGGGGCUAGCGUUGUCCGGAUUUAUUGGGCGUAAAGAGCGUGUAGGCGGCCAUGUAGGUCCGGUGUGAAAACUCGAGGCUUAACCUCGAGAUGUCGGCGGAAACCAUCUGGCUAGAGUCCGGAAGAGGAGAGUGGAAUUCCUGGUGUAGCGGUGAAAUGCGCAGAUAUCAGGAAGAACACCUAUGGCGAAGGCAGCUCUCUGGGACGGUACUGACGCUGAGACGCGAAAGCGUGGGGAGCGAACAGG